AAAAAAAAGUAAACAAAAAAUUUGCCGCCAGCAGGGGUCGAACCUGCGACCUUGGGCUUAUUAGACCCACGCUCUAACCGACUGAGCUAUGGCGGCACGGAGCGGCGCUGUUUAGAUGGCCGUGA
Non-coding RNA from Caenorhabditis elegans, 125 nucleotides. Lineage: Eukaryota; Metazoa; Nematoda; Chromadorea; Rhabditida; Rhabditidae. The record is from Ensembl.